This 91-nucleotide transfer RNA is filed under the name Rubrivivax sp. RNAcentral describes it as "tRNA-Leu". It matches the Rfam family "tRNA". From Rfam's summary of the family: Transfer RNA (tRNA) molecules are approximately 80 nucleotides in length. Their secondary structure includes four short double-helical elements and three loops (D, anti-codon, and T loops). Lineage: Bacteria; Pseudomonadati; Pseudomonadota; Betaproteobacteria; Burkholderiales; Sphaerotilaceae. The record is from RNAcentral.
GCCCGGAUGGCGAAACAGGCAGACGCAGCGGACUUAAAAUCCGCCGCCCUUGAAAAGGGGCAUGCGGGUUCGAACCCCGCUCUGGGCACCA